RNAcentral lists this ribosomal RNA (623 nucleotides) under fungal sp. Z-13. Its description in RNAcentral is "eukaryotic LSU rRNA". The stretch from base 173 to 326 matches the Rfam family "5.8S ribosomal RNA". Lineage: Eukaryota; Fungi. The record is from RNAcentral.
UUCCGUAAGGGAACCUGCGGAAGGAUCAUGGUAAUGUAAUUUAGAUUGAACCAUAGGCGAAAGCCAGUGGUUCUUCUUUCAUAUCCAUAACACCUGUGCACUGUUGGAUGCUUGCAUCCACUUUUAAACUAAACAUUAUUGUAACAAAUGUAGUCUUAUUAUAACAUAAUAAAACUUUCAACAACGGAUCUCUUGGCUCUCGCAUCGAUGAAGAACGCAGCGAAAUGCGAUAAGUAAUGUGAAUUGCAGAAUUCAGUGAAUCAUCGAAUCUUUGAACGCACCUUGCGCUCCUUGGUAUUCCGAGGAGCAUGCCUGUUUGAGUGUCAUGAAACCCUCAAACCCAAGUUUUGGAUUUCGAUCCAUGCUUGAGUUUGGAUUUGGAUGUUUGCCGGUGAUGAACCGACUCAUCUUAAAAGUAUUAGCUUGGAUCUGUCUAUAUGACUGGUUUGACUUGGCAUAAUAAGUAUUUUGCUGAGGACAUCUUCGGAUGGCCAGGACCUAGACUACUGUCUGCUAACUAAACCAUCACUUUAAGUGCAUCUUUGGAUGUUACUCAUUGUGUAACUUUGACAUCUGGCCUCAAAUCAAGUAGGACUACCCGCUGAACUUAAGCAUAUCAAUAG